UACGUAGGGAGCAAGCGUUGUUCGGAUUUACUGGGCGUAAAGGGCGCGUAGGCGGCGCGACAAGUCACUUGUGAAAUCUCCGGGCUUAACUCGGAACGGUCAAGUGAAACUGUCAUGCUAGAGUGCAGAAGGGGCAAUCGGAAUUCUUGGUGUAGCGGUGAAAUGCGUAGAUAUCAGGAGGAACACCAGUGGCGAAGGCGGCUACCUGGCCCAUUCUUGACGCUGAGGCGCGAAAGCUAGGGGAGCAAACGGG
RNAcentral lists this ribosomal RNA (253 nucleotides) under uncultured bacterium. Its description in RNAcentral is "partial 16S ribosomal RNA". It matches the Rfam family "Bacterial small subunit ribosomal RNA", at positions 524 to 776 of the family's 1533-position model. The record is from RNAcentral.